RNAcentral lists this ribosomal RNA (824 nucleotides) under uncultured bacterium. RNAcentral's name for it is "bacterial SSU rRNA". It matches the Rfam family "Bacterial small subunit ribosomal RNA", at positions 28 to 898 of the family's 1533-position model. The record is from RNAcentral.
AGCGAACGCUGGCGGCAGGCCUAACACAUGCAAGUCGAACGGAUCCUUCGGGAUUAGUGGCGGACGGGUGAGUAACACGUGGGAACGUGCCUUUUGGUUCGGAACAACUCAGGGAAACUUGAGCUAAUACCGGAUAAGCCCUUCGGGGGAAAGAUUUAUCGCCAUUAGAGCGGCCCGCGUAGGAUUAGCUAGUUGGUGGGGUAAAGGCCCACCAAGGCUACGAUCCUUAGCUGGUCUAAGAGGAUGAUCAGCCACAUUGGGACUGAGACACGGCCCAAACUCCUACGGGAGGCAGCAGUGGGGAAUCUUGCGCAAUGGGCGAAAGCCUGACGCAGCCAUGCCGCGUGAAUGAUGAAGGUCUUAGGAUUGUAAAAUUCUUUCACCGGGGACGAUAAUGACGGUACCCGGAGAAGAAGCCCCGGCUAACUUCGUGCCAGCAACCGCGGUAAUACGAAGGGGGCGAGCGUUGUUCGGAUUUACUGGGCGUAAAGGGCGCGCUGGCGGCGCAUUUUGUCAGGCGUGAAAGCCCCGGGCUUAACCUGGGAACUGCGUUUGAUACGGAUGGGCUAGAGUUCGGGAGAGGAGAGUGGAAUUCCCAGUGUAGAGGUGAAAUUCGUAGAUAUUGGGAAGAACACCGGUGGCGAAGGCGGCUCUCUGGACCGAGACUGACGCUGAGGCGCGAAAGCGUGGGGAGCAAACAGGAUUAGAUACCCUGGUAGUCCACGCUGUAAACGAUGUGUGCUAGACGUUGGGGAGCCUAGCUCUUCGGUGUCGCAGCUAACGCGGUAAGCACACCGCCUGGGGAGUACGGCCGCAAGGUUAAA